AUUGAACGCUGGCGGCAUGCUUUACACAUGCAAGUCGAACGGUAACAGGCCGCAAGGUGCUGACGAGUGGCGAACGGGUGAGUAAUGCAUCGGAACGUGCCCAGUCGUGGGGGAUAACGCAGCGAAAGCUGUGCUAAUACUGCAUACGAUCUACGGAUGAAAGCGGGGGACCGUAAGGCGUCGCGCGAUUGGAGCGGCCGAUGUCAGAUUAGCGAGUUGGUGGGGUAAAGGCCCACCAAGGCGACGAUCUGUAGAUGGUCUGAGAGGACGACCAGCCACACUGGGACUGAGACACGGCCCAGACUCCUACGGGAGGCAGCAGUGGGGAAUUUUGGACAAUGGGCGCAAGCCUGAUCCAGCAAUGCCGCGUGCAGGAAGAAGGCCUUCGGGUUGUAAACUGCUUUUGUACGGAACGAAACGGUCUGGGUUAAUACCUCGGGCUAAUGACGGUACCGUAAGAAUAAGCACCGGCUAACUACGUGCCAGCCGCCGCGGUAA
This 498-nucleotide ribosomal RNA is filed under the name uncultured bacterium. RNAcentral describes it as "partial 16S ribosomal RNA". It matches the Rfam family "Bacterial small subunit ribosomal RNA", at positions 29 to 523 of the family's 1533-position model. The record is from RNAcentral.